This 148-nucleotide non-coding RNA is filed under the name Gorilla gorilla gorilla (western lowland gorilla). Lineage: Eukaryota; Metazoa; Chordata; Mammalia; Primates; Hominidae. The record is from Rfam by way of RNAcentral.
GCUAGGUGUGGUGGCGCACACCUGUAAUCCCAGCUACUCAGGAGGCUGAGGCAGGAGAAUCACUUGAACCCAGGAGGCAGAGGUUGCAGUAAGCAGAGAUCAUGCCACUGCACUCCAGCCUGGGCGAGAGAGUGAGACUCUGCCUCAA